CAACCCUCAAGCUCUGCUUGGUAUUGAGUGUCACCUAGCAUGGUGUACCUAAAAUUCAGUGGCAGUGCCAUCAGCCUCCAGCGUAGUAAUCUUUCUCGCUGAGGAGGUUUGGGUAAGGUACUUGCCAGCAAGCCCUAAUUUAUCAAUGG
Molecule: unclassified non-coding RNA, 149 nt
Filed under: uncultured Helotiales
Lineage: Eukaryota; Fungi; Ascomycota; Leotiomycetes; Helotiales
Description: sequence contains ITS2
Source: RNAcentral